This 342-nucleotide ribosomal RNA is filed under the name uncultured Acinetobacter sp. Its description in RNAcentral is "bacterial SSU rRNA". It matches the Rfam family "Bacterial small subunit ribosomal RNA", at positions 1 to 350 of the family's 1533-position model. Lineage: Bacteria; Pseudomonadati; Pseudomonadota; Gammaproteobacteria; Moraxellales; Moraxellaceae. The record is from RNAcentral.
UAGAGUUUGAUCAUGGCUCAGAUUGAACGCUGGCGGCAGGCUUAACACAUGCAAGUCGAGCGGAGAUGAGGUGCUUGCACCUUAUCUUAGCGGCGGACGGGUGAGUAAUGCUUAGGAAUCUGCCUAUUAGUGGGGGACAACAUUCCGAAAGGAAUGCUAAUACCGCAUACGUCCUACGGGAGAAAGCAGGGAUCUUCGGACCUUGCGCUAAUAGAUGAGCCUAAGUCGGAUUAGCUAGUUGGUGGGGUAAAGGCCUACCAAGGCGACGAUCUGUAGCGGGUCUGAGAAGGAUGAUCCGCCACACUGGGGACUGAGACACCGCCCAGACUCCUACGGGAGGCA